UGUACCGGUACAGAGUCAAUGUGGAGGCUAUAUACAGGGGGUACCGGUACAGAGUCAAUGUGGAGGCUAUAUACAGGGUGUACCGGUACAGAGUCAAUGUGGAGGCUAUAUACAGGGUGUAACGGUACAGAGUCAAUGUGGAGGCUAUAUACAGGGUAUUACGGUACAGAGUCAAUGUGGAGGCUAUAUACAGGGGGUACCGGUACAGAGUCAAUGUGGAGGCUAUAUACAGGGGUACCGGUACAGAGUCAAUGUGGAGGCUAUAUACAGGGUAUUAUGGUACAGAGUCAAUGUGGAGGCUAUAUACAGGGUAUUACGGUACAGAGUCAAUGUGGAGGCUAUAUACAGGGGGUACCGGUACAGAGUCAAUGUGGAGGCUAUAUACAGGGUGUUACGGUACAGAGUCAAUGUGGAGGCUAUAUACAGGGGGUACCGGUACAGAGUCAAUGUGGAGGCUAUAUACAGGGGGUACCGGUACAGAGUCAAUGUGGAGGCUAUAUACAGGGGGUACCGGUACAGAGUCAAUGUGGAGGCUAUGUACAGGGGGGUACCGGUACAGAGUCAAUGUGGAGGCACCGGUACAGAGUCAAGUCUGAGUAGCCAUUUGAUUCAUUGUUCAGCAGUCUUAUGGCUUGGGGGUAGAAGCUGUUUAGAAGCAUCUUGGUCCUAGACUUGGCUCUCCGGUACCGCUUGCCGUGUGGUAGCAGAGAGUACAGUCUGUGACUAGGGGUGGCUGGA
RNAcentral lists this long non-coding RNA (738 nucleotides) under Salmo salar (Atlantic salmon). RNAcentral describes it as "lncRNA (ENSSSAG00000095230.1)". The record is from RNAcentral. Lineage: Eukaryota; Metazoa; Chordata; Actinopteri; Salmoniformes; Salmonidae.